Molecule: non-coding RNA, 4451 nt
Organism: Myodes glareolus (Bank vole)
Lineage: Eukaryota; Metazoa; Chordata; Mammalia; Rodentia; Cricetidae
Source: RefSeq, a predicted model, not a curated record
GACUUGGUUUGCUGAACUCACUUAGGAGCCAGGAGGAAACACUGCCAGGAAAAGGCACUGGGUCAGUGUGCCAGCCAAAGGCAGCCCAACUUAGGUGAGUCUCGAGAGCAUUUCCCGAGCUUCUUUGAUCUGAGACCAUGGGCUUGUACAAUACUUGACAUUCUUUACAAUAUAAAGAACACUGGACUAAGAGUUAGGAGAGCUGGCUGGGGCUCAUGCCCCAGCUGCCAAUGACUUACGUGACCUUGGGGAACUCUCUUCACUUCUCCAGCCUUUAGUUUCUUCUUCUAUAAAAUACGGGGAUUACCAACACACUUUCAGUUCUGGCAUCCUGAUUCUGAAAUAUAUGCACUGCCUUCCUUGCCCUUAAAAUAGAAUUUAUUUCAAAAGCAGAUGGCCCAGGCACUGGAAAAUGGUUCCUGGCAGUCUCACGAUUCCUUUCAAGGAUGUACCUUCAGAGUUGUAUUUAUAAAUCCCUUGAAGAUCAGUGGACCCUUGGCUAAAGCCCAAGUCAAGCUGUGCUAAUGAAAUUAAAUAAAUUUCAAAAAAUGAAAAGGACUAUAAAAUUAAAAGAGUUAAUUUCAGGCAACCUCUAAAAGUGCCAAAAAAAUACUUUCAGAAAGUUUACGCUGUUUCCUCUUUUACCCAACCCCUUGAUACUUUCAGACUCGUAACUUGCCUGGUAUUAUUUAUCUCCCCCAACAACUUGCCAGGUAAGCAGUAUAUUGACUAUCUUUUACAAAUGGGAAAGCAGACACAAUGGUAGUCAUUAAUUUGGGCCCACAACAUGGAGUAAGAGGAGCAAAACUGAGGUUGGAAGCCAAGGUUCAAGACUCCAGGUCCAGAGUUGUGUGCUUCAUACCAGACACAGCAGAGUGCAGCACCAGCAACUGUACUCAGAUGAGUGGGCAGAAGGUGCGGAAUCCAAGGUCGCCCUUCUCCUCUGAAACAGGCAUUCCCACGUAGGGAGGAGGCUGAGACUGAAUGAGUACCUCAAAUCCGUCCUACACCACUAGAGACCAAAUAAGCAUCCCGAUUCCCAGUUCUGCCUCGGCGAGUCCACUCAGUAUGACCUUUCCACCCGAAGUCUCAGGCUUUGCGAUGGUACCCGUGGUCUCACCCCACUUGCAUUUUCAGUUUAUCUACUUCCCCAAACUCCCAUGGGAACAGAGAAACAAGAGACACACAGAAAAGGAAAUGCAUUUGUUGUACAAUAGGGUGGUGCGGUGAAGGAUGCACCCAGCUGAGAUGCUGUAAGAAAAGGAAGUCUCUGUUCCUGGGACUGAUGAGGCAAACUGGCUAGAAUGGUCUGGGGGCUUCAGUUGUCAGUACCUGGAACUGGCUUGAGACGUUACCUUAUAUACCUAUUCUCAGAGAGGUGUGUGCCCUGAUCUCCCAAAGCCAGGCCUUCAAGCAGGGCAUGGGAAAAGUGUAAUUGACAGGCAGCCCAGAUGCAGUCAGCCCUGGCAUGUGACAGCUGAACAGAACCAACAGCUAAGCUCGGCUGGUUUAUCUUACCUAGGUGCUGGGCCACCCUCACCUCAAACUUUUCUUUUCUUUUUUUUUCUUGAGUACCAAUUGGAAGAUAACCAGAGUCGGAAAUGUGGUAAGGAGAGAGCUCAAAGCAGGCUCCACUGCCCAGUGUCAGGAGAAUCGCCACACGUUUUAUUUCUGAUGCAGAAAAGAAAAUGGAUUCUACCGAGGAAAUCAUUUCCCUGCCUUUCCAAGGGGCAAAAAAAAAAGAAAAAAAAAAUGGAAACGGAAAAUCUGACUUACAAAUCCUGCACAGUGUUCACAGAAGGUCGGCUUGAGAUAAUUCAUCUCCUGAAAAUUAUGGAUAAAUCCUGGUCCCAUUUUGCAGUGUAGCUGGGAUUUAGCUCGCAGAAAAUAGGCCAUCAUUUCAUCUUUGCUAAUUAGGCCAUCCCUGUUAGGAAAGUCAAAGAAGAGAAGAAUCUGUGAAUACCAUAUCACUAAGUAACUGCGACUCUCUGGUACCCACCUCCCAAGCAUUUGUGACCAAAAGCAAAAGAGAGAUGUUCACUUUUCUUAAACAUUCAAAAGGAGGAUGAGUCUCCAAAGACACAUCAAAUAUUCAAAACCUUCUUCAAUAAGUAGAUGCUGUGUGUGCGUGCGUGUGUGUGUGUGUGCGCGCGCGCGCGUGCAUGUGUGUGACAGCUCUCAGACAGUCUCCUGAGAUUGCUAGAGGCAGGAUCGCCAUUUCACACUGAGGUAGAGCUAAGAGUGACUGGCCAUUUUGCUUUUUUGACCUUCAGGUUGAACCCCAAUAUCUGCCUCAGGUUUUUAUUAGUUGUGUUACAACUAGCAAUAAGGUUGAAAUUGCUGCUUUCACUUUCAACUUCAUUCAGCCCAAUUCAUUGCAGGCUGUUCCCCCAGGGACCUUUGCAUCUGUGUCCUCCAGAUCCACGGCUUAUCUAGAGCAAACUCUGCAGAUCUCAUCUCCACAGAAGGACUCCCCUCCUCCACCUAUGUACUCUCUGCUUGUCACAUACCUUGCUUGCUGUCACUGGUCUUUCAGUAAGGGAUGGAACACAAGUGACACAGGCAAGUGCCAAGUACAGAGGUCUCGCCUUUCCUGCCCUGCUCAGGCUCCCCUUAUCCUUCCUCUCUUGGCUCUUCCUAUGGCAUCAGAAGGACUGCUCCCAUCCCUGCUCUCCAGGCUCCACGGACCUCUGCUCUCUCCCAGGCUCUGACCAAUCUUCUCACCCAUUUCUUCGGUUUACAGAGAAGUCCAAUGCUUCCCUUCUCCUCUAAUCUCAUUCCUUGCGGCAGCUGUCUUCCCCAACACCAGUCUUUCUCUCUUACCAACUCCCCAAAACAUCACUCAUUAGCAUUUUCUGUCACCAUGCUACAGCACCAGUCAAGUUUCUCCCACUGCCAUCCCACUAAACUGUCACUAAGGACAAUCCUCAGUGGUCUUCUCUUGUUUUUUGAAAACUCUGACCUCACGACGGUGUGUGACACAGGGGCAUUUAUUUGUUGACAUCUUCUCUCUGGAGCCUGCACUUCUGAGCCUUGUUGCUUUACUCUUUCCUCUCCUGCUUCCCCUUCUCUGUCUUUUCUGCAGAAUUCCACUUGUUACUUUCAUUGUCUAUGAGUGGGAAGGGAAGUCCACAUAUUUCCUUCUGGAGACCCGAUCUCGUCCCCCCACCCACCAAAUUUCCCACCAGAAAAAAAAUAGUGCACUGAGGUUCCAGCAACCUGAUAGUGUUGUGGGGCUGAAAACGCAGUGUUCACCUCCAACCCUGGCUGCUCUCACACAUUUCAAACUGCAUCUUCAAUAACUGGCUACACGUCUCUCCCCGUACACACCCCUCCAAAUCAGCAUAGCCUGCCAAAGUCCCUGUCUGACCUCUCCAACUCACAUGACCACAGGUUCCCCUGUUGCCAUGAAUGGUGUGUCAUAAUUGUACCCCAGACUUAAGGUCCUUUUUGUCAUCUCAUAUGCAAAAUAACCUGAAUCAUACUUAGAAUUCAUAAAAUUCAUUCAUUUAGUAUCUUUCCCAUCCUUGAAAACAUGUAUCAUACAAUUUGUACAGACUUAUGCAUCAAUCACAAACAGACACAAAAGUCUAAUUUGGACUACAUUCAUUUAGGAAGACGUGUGUGUGUGUGUGUGUGUGUGUGUGUGUGUGUGUGUGUGUGUGUAUACACACACAGAGAUGUAGAAUCACUGAAUCAUACAUGCCCCAGGGAUCCACUUACUAUACUGUAGGGCAACUGGAGUUUAACCACCAGGAAGUAACCUGGCUCAGGUCCUUUCCUGGCUCAAGAGACAGAGCAAGCAGGAGCUUGCUGAGAGCAAGCAUCCAUCUAUCCCAUCUUACAUUAUAUAGCUCUCCUGAUAAAAGGUUGGCCCUGGCACUGGAGCUUCCAGUUUCCCACAGCUGUGAUACAAAGCACUCAAAGAUCAAAGGGCUGAAAAAACUUCUGUGCCUGUCUACCAUGCAUUCUCUCACAUGCUAGGAAUUCCAGGAACCAAGAUGUAUGCAGAACCACAAGAUGGAGGGAGUUUACCCUGUGAGUUACUAGAAAGAGGAAUGUUGGCUAGUCAGUAGGAAUGCUGGACUUAAAUAAGUGGAAAAUUCUACACAGCAGUUCUUCACCUUGACCUUUAUCCUUUAGUAAUUUUCUUUAUUUUGAGACGUGGUCUCACUGAUCAAGUUGUCUAGGCUGAUGUUGAAUACUUUCUCUGUGGACCCAAGCAGGCCCCAAGUUUGUGAUCCUCCUGCCUCAGCCGGCCAAGUAGCCUGAGCUACAGGCAUCUGCCCUCAGGUUGGUCAUUUCUAUUUCUCUUGACGGGGGUUUUGGAGUUGGUAGCAAAGCAGUAGAAGUAUUUACAGAAACUGAGAGCUGGUUCAUUUCCAGACAGGCACUUAUGCUUAAGAGAGAUGUGGUUUGCCUUGUGACAGUGCCCAAAAGGUUAGGUUUAG